UACGAGAGGCCCAAACGUUAUUCGGAUUUACUGGGCUUAAAGAGUUCGUAGGCGGUGCGGAAAGUGGGGUGUGAAAGCCCUCGGCUCAACCGAGGAAUUGCGCUCCAAACUUCCACACUUGAGGAGGAUAGAGGUGAGCAGAACUGAUGGUGGAGCGGUGAAAUGCGUUGAUAUCAUCAGGAAUACCGGAGGCGAAGGCGGCUCACUGGGUCCUUUCUGACGCUGAGGAACGAAAGCUAGGGGAGCAAACGGG
This 253-nucleotide ribosomal RNA is filed under the name uncultured bacterium. RNAcentral's name for it is "partial 16S ribosomal RNA". It matches the Rfam family "Bacterial small subunit ribosomal RNA", at positions 524 to 776 of the family's 1533-position model. The record is from RNAcentral.